ACUCCUACGGGAGGCAGCAGUGAGGAAUAUUGGUCAAUGGCCGGAAGGCUGAACCAGCCAAGUCGCGUGAGGGAAUAAGGCCCUACGGGUCGUAAACCUCUUUUGUCCGGGAGCAAGGAGAUCCACGUGUGGAUGUUCGGAGAGUACCGGAAGAAAAAGCAUCGGCUAACUCCGUGCCAGCAGCCGCGGUAAUA
RNAcentral lists this ribosomal RNA (194 nucleotides) under uncultured bacterium. Its description in RNAcentral is "partial 16S ribosomal RNA". It matches the Rfam family "Bacterial small subunit ribosomal RNA", at positions 335 to 525 of the family's 1533-position model. The record is from RNAcentral.